RNAcentral lists this unclassified non-coding RNA (305 nucleotides) under plant metagenome. RNAcentral's name for it is "partial contains 5.8S ribosomal RNA, internal transcribed spacer 2, and large subunit ribosomal RNA". The stretch from base 1 to 105 matches the Rfam family "5.8S ribosomal RNA", at positions 50 to 154 of the family's 154-position model. The record is from RNAcentral.
GAAAUGCGAUAAGUAGUGUGAAUUGCAGAAUUCAGUGAAUCAUCGAAUCUUUGAACGCACAUUGCGCCCUUUGGUAUUCCUUAGGGCAUGCCUGUUCGAGCGUCAUCUAAACCUUCAAGCCCUGCUUGGUGUUGGGUGCCUGUCCCGCCUCCGCGCGCGGACUCACCUCAAAUCCAUUGGCGGCCCCCGCGUCGGCCACGAGCGCAGCAGAAACGCGAACUCGUGAGCCCGUCCGGGCGGCUCCCAGAAGCUACACCCACCCAGUUUGACCUCGGAUCAGGUAGGGAUACCCGCUGAACUUGAGC